GAUGAACGCUGGCGGCGUGCCUAAUACAUGCAAGUCGAGCGAACAGAUGAGGAGCUUGCUCCUCUGACGUUAGCGGCGGACGGGUGAGUAACACGUGGAUAACCUACCUAUAAGACUGGGAUAACUUCGGGAAACCGGAGCUAAUACCGGAUAAUAUAUUGAACCGCAUGGUUCAAUAGUGAAAGACGGUUUUGCUGUCACUUAUAGAUGGAUCCGCGCCGCAUUAGCUAGUUGGUAAGGUAACGGCUUACCAAGGCAACGAUGCGUAGCCGACCUGAGAGGGUGAUCGGCCACACUGGAACUGAGACACGGUCCAGACUCCUACGGGAGGCAGCAGUAGGGAAUCUUACGCAAUGGGCGAAAGCUUGACGGAGCAACGCCGCGUGAGUGAUGAAGGUCUUCGGAUCGUAAAACUCUGUUAUUAGGGAAGAACAAAUGUGUAAGUAACUAUGCACGUCUUGACGGUACCUAAUCAGAAAGCCACGGCUAACUACGUG
This 497-nucleotide ribosomal RNA is filed under the name uncultured bacterium. RNAcentral's name for it is "partial 16S ribosomal RNA". It matches the Rfam family "Bacterial small subunit ribosomal RNA", at positions 28 to 507 of the family's 1533-position model. The record is from RNAcentral.